UUGUAAGGUAGAGUCAGGGGGACUCAUUAGCCAAGACUUUUCCUUUUCAGAAGCCAAUUCAUUUUGUUGAAUGAUUUUUAUCAAAUGUCUUCUGAAGAAACUGUAAUGUCCAUCCUGAAAUUUUCCUUUGCAGGCACCUAUUGCAAAGAGUGCAUCUGAUUCUAGAUAAUAGUUUCUGAUUUGUGUGAGGGCUACUGUCCUUUCGCAUUUGCUUUCCUAUUGAUUUCCACAGCUAUGUUUGUCCUUCUGUGAGUAUGAGAGCCAUAGCUCUGAUGUGACCCCUGGUAUUGAGUGUACAUCUACAUAUAAGUGGUAUAGAGCUUCCUGGCUCUGAAACAUGUGUGAGUACACAGAGCUUUCUUUAUUUUUUAAUCUCAGGAUCAGUGGAUUUGUUGGGACGGUGCUGACAUAAAAGAUGAAAUGAAACAUCUGUGUCUAACAGCUGCACAAAAUUUGGAUUCAUGCGAACUGCUCUGACAUCACACAUUCUGCAUGUGAGUUCCAUGCGCAGUCUCCGUAUGGUGCUAAUACAAUAACAUGCCUACAAAGUCCCUGUGGUUUAUGGUGUGAUGAACUCCAGAGCUGAGGAAACAAAGCCAGGAAGCCUACACCAUUUGCUGAAUGGAGCUGACUUUGGACUCAUUUGGAAGCAGUGCAUUUUUAUCAGAGGGACUGAAAAGCCUUUCGAGAAUCAGUCAAGAAAAAGGAAUGUGCAUGAGAGUCACGGUGAGUAGCACUUCUCAUCAAACUAGCUGCCCAGGGGUGUUAAAGUGCUUUCUAAAAAGGGAACUAACAGGGCUGCUCACCAUUUACUGUUUUCUAAGAGCCUUAGCUAAAUUAAUCAUAGCACACACCAGCCCUGUAAGGUAAAAUGAUUCCUGGUGUUUUGAAAGCAAUCAGCGAUCUACAAAAAGGGAGGUAAUGUCCCCCAGAACCAAGAUUAAAACUCCGACGUUGAGGGAAUCUCCAUUCCCUUCCUGUCAUCAAAGGCCAGCUUGUUUGUGUCCAAGCAGGGUCUUGGGUGAGCCAAGCUCUGUUAAAGUGGCCACAGGAAUGAGAGGCCACCACACAAGUGAGGAUACUGGAGACAGUCCGUCUUCUGGGGCUGUGUGAAUGCAAGUUUAGUCGUGGGGGCUGUCACAUUAUAAGUGGACAGGUGUG
This 1161-nucleotide long non-coding RNA is filed under the name Macaca mulatta (Rhesus monkey). RNAcentral describes it as "lncRNA (ENSMMUG00000058165.1)". The record is from RNAcentral. Lineage: Eukaryota; Metazoa; Chordata; Mammalia; Primates; Cercopithecidae.